RNAcentral lists this unclassified non-coding RNA (232 nucleotides) under Hevea brasiliensis (rubber tree). The record is from RNAcentral. Lineage: Eukaryota; Viridiplantae; Streptophyta; Magnoliopsida; Malpighiales; Euphorbiaceae.
GGAUUUUCAAAUGAAGUGGGCGUUUGAAACUCUGCAAAGAUAUCGUAAAAGGUUUUGCAUGUUUAAUGAUGAUAUACAGGGAACUGCUGGUGUUGCACUGGCGGGGUUGCUUGGAACUGUAAGAGCCCAAGGGUGACUUUGUGAACCAAAAGAUAGUUGUAGUGGGGGCUGGGAGUGCCGGGCUUGGGGUCCUGAAUGUGGCCGUACAGGCUGUUUCAAGAUUGUCUGGGUG